RNAcentral lists this ribosomal RNA (468 nucleotides) under uncultured bacterium. Its description in RNAcentral is "partial 16S ribosomal RNA". It matches the Rfam family "Bacterial small subunit ribosomal RNA", at positions 28 to 507 of the family's 1533-position model. The record is from RNAcentral.
GACGAACGCUGGCGGCGUGCUUAACACAUGCAAGUCGAACGGAAAGGCCCUGCUUUUGUGGGUUGCUCGAUUGGCGAACGGGUGAGUAACACGUGAGUAACCUGCCCUUGACUUUGUGAUAACUUCAGGAAACUGGGGCUCUUACCGGAUAUGAGCUCCUGCUCCAUGUUGGUGAUUGGAAAGUUUCGGCGGUUGGGGCUGGACUCGCGGGUUAUCGGCUUGUUGGUGUGGUAGUGGCGUACGAAGGUUUUGACGGGUAGCCGGCCUGGGAGGGUGGACGGCCACAAUGGGACUGAGAGACGGAGCAGUCUGCUACCGGACGCAGAAGUGGGGAGUAUUGCAGAGCGGGCGGGAGCGUGAGACAGAAGCGCCGCGAGCGGGAUGAUGGCCUACGGGUUGUAAACAGAUGUGGAAUGUGACGAACAGUGCGUGACGGUACUGGGUCAGGAAGCAACGGCUAACUACGUG